Rhipicephalus sanguineus (brown dog tick) is the source of this 985-nucleotide long non-coding RNA. RefSeq lists it as uncharacterized. NCBI's taxonomy places the organism in Eukaryota, Metazoa, Arthropoda, Arachnida, Ixodida, Ixodidae. The transcript has 2 exons. The record is from RefSeq and is a predicted model, not a curated record.
AGAUGCUAUCGGUAUCGCUUUGAGCAUUUUGCCUUUGAAAAUGAGCAUAUUUUGUGAAUAUUACUGUCUGGCAAUAUCUCAACGCAUUUUGUGAUGCAGCCGGUGACCAAUUUCGACGCUGUCCCGUCGCGCCGGCUGCAGGAAAUGUGCACCGCGCGUCAGGUGCGGCGGAAAGCAGCUGUUUCCUGCGCAUUUCUAUGCGCGCAGCGACUAUUUUUCCUUUUAGGCCUACCUUCGUAUUUCCCGCACGCUUCUUUCCACGCUAAAAGUGCCAAGAGGAAGCAAGGAGAAAAGCUCCCGGGAACUCGAAAGGCCUCUUCUGCAGGGACAGGCUUCUUCGGACGAUGCAUCACUCGGUCUUGGCCGCAUGAAAACAGAGCACGAACUCCUCGUUUAUUCGACACAUGCACAGUUGCUGUAUCGCUGACGUGUUGAUUGACUGACAUUUGUGACCAAUGUACCCUUUGUAACGGGUGGACUCACUGUCAGUGUCCUAACCAAAUGAAAGGAAGAAAUCGCACAGAUCGAGAGCCACACAAGUUCCCUGUCGAGCUUUUCGUUGUGGCUGGUCGCGCUCCUCUCGUGUGUAAACGUGGUCCCUGUUAUCACGACGACUGACGAGUACUGUCUGUCGCCGUUUUGACCGCGGAACAACCAAAAGCGGCCGGCGGAAGUCACGCUGCGUGCUCAACAACAUCGCAGCAAUGCGCAGAGAAAGGAGCGCAGAUGCGGUCAAGUCGCUCUUUGUCGCCAAGGUCAUGAAAAGACGCAGGCAGUGGCGUAGCCAGGGGGGGGGGGGCUCACCUGGCUACAGCCCCCCCCCCUGAAAUUUUUUCGUACUGUCAUGUACCGCCGACCAAAACAGCCACCUGCGCCGGAAAUUAUCUGUAUUUUUUCUAGAAUUCCUUUCCACAGUCGAAAAGACACUUCGGUGCGAACAUUGCUGAUUUGGGCUGGCUUAGCAUUACUGUAUAUGCUACAUUAA